This 271-nucleotide ribosomal RNA is filed under the name uncultured bacterium. Its description in RNAcentral is "partial 16S ribosomal RNA". It matches the Rfam family "Bacterial small subunit ribosomal RNA", at positions 57 to 305 of the family's 1533-position model. The record is from RNAcentral.
GCAAGUCGAACGAGAGAACAGGAGCUUGCUCCUGGGCUUUAGUGGCAGACGGGUGAGUAACGCGUGGGCAACCUACCUUUGAGUAGGGGAUACCCAGCCGAAAGGCUGGUUAAUACCGUAUGACAUAGAGAUCACUUAGGUGGAUUCUAUUAAAGCUGGGGAUUUUGGAAACAGAACCUGGUGCUUGAAGAGGGGCUCGCGUUGGAUUAGCUAGUUGGUGGGGUAAUGGCCUACCAAGGCGUCGAUCUAUAGCCGGCCUGAGAGGGUGAUC